AGACCUGGUGUCUGCUCUUGGCUCUGCUCUCACCUUCCAUUAGGGAAUAACAGAAUAACUGAGCUCUAAGGGAUGUUCCAGGCCCAGACCUCUGUAUGCAGGCAGCCACUGCCUGGAAAAUGACCAUCCCGCUUCUUCUCCGAUGCCUCUGUGGCCAGGAGGAGCCUGAGCAUUCUACCUUGGAAGAGGAAACUGAAGCCCAGAGGAGGGAAGCGCCUCAUCUGUGAUCACAAAGGGGCAGAACUGGAAUGUGAAACCUAAGUAUCCCGACUCCAGAGCCCACGGGCUGCCCAGUCUACCGCGCUGACUCCCGAACAGCCUCCAUAAGCUUUCCCAGCGUCCCCAUAAGCUGCUCCACCUCCCUCCCUGCUCCUUAUCUCCAGGUCUUCUGCAGGAGCCAGGGGAGAUGAGAUCUUAAGCUCUCCUUAAUAAGUGUUGCCAAAGGGUAGAGCUGUGACUGGUUAGUGAGGUCACCGCCCAGUAACUAGACUGGGGCUCCUUUCUCUUGGCACUUUUGAAUAUUGGCUACGCUGGUUCAGUCCUCCCAAGGCAGAUCUUUUCCAAAUGGGUCCUUGGCUUGUGGUUGGAACCCACAGUCACUGGCCCAGCAGUGGGGCUCAGUGAUUAGAAUCCUCCAGUUCAAUAGAAUUCAAUUCAGCCAACAUUUUUUACUUAUUGUAUUCAGAACUCUGUGAUAAAUGCUGCAAUCCUUAGAUAAAACACCAUCUCUGCCCUCAGGGAGUUUAUAGUUUAAUAUGAGUCAGCACUUAGCAGUCCUUGGCAUACAGUAGUAGCAAACGCUUGCUGAUGGGAUGAUCAAUUGAUGGCAGAUGGGACACAAUCAGUUAACUCUAGUACACGAUAUUCUGGGGGUAGGUGUAGUAGAGAGGAUCAUGAGUUUCCUGAAGCCUGAGGAGGAAGAUCUCUAGGAACUUGGAGACCAAAGCAGGCUUCUUGGAGGAGGAAGCAUUCGGCUUGGGCUUUAAAGGACGGGUAGGGAAGAGAGGGAGGUAGAACAGGGGACAGCACACGCAAAGGCCUGCAGGUGAGAAAACAAGAAGCAUAGAAAAGAGGGUAAGUAGAGUAGCGUGGUUGGAGGGGGCAUGUCACUGCACAGAACAUGCUUCUGAAGCCUGAUGCUUUAUUACGGAUGAUCUAGUUGGAUUAGUUCAUGAUUUUUUUACAUGAGGAAACAAGCCCAGAGAAGGACAGGAGCUUGCCAAGGAUACACAACAAUGAUUGUCAGCCAGGCUUUGGACUCAGGUCUUCUUGACCCUCACCAUGCCAUGCUGAGGGAGCUAAGACCAGAAAGACACAGUGAGGCUAGAAUGUUAUGCCUUAGAGGUACUUAACUUAGAAUGUACCACUCAAAAUAAUUUUAUUAAAAAAAAAACCCUCCAAGGUAGAGUGUGUGAUGAAACAACUGAGUGCAAUAUUACUAAAAACAAGUUCCUAGAGAAGGGGCAACAGAGAGAGAGAGGCAGCAGAAGCCAAAGACACUAGUUUUGGAGCUUGGAGAGAUCUGUCUUCAAAUCCCGACCCUGGUACUUCAGAAAAGCAUGUGACCCUGGACAAGUCACUUCACUUUUGCUGCCCCUAAUGGGCAAAAUGGGAGCAAUAAUGACUGAGGGGCUCUGAGGCUCAAAUGAGACAAUGUAUUUACACUUCUGAAAACUUCAAAGGGCUACAAACAUGCCAGCUACUAUUACUGUGGUUGUUGCCGUUAUUAAUGUCUUUAGAUCAAAGCUGAAGACAAAACUCCUUCCUGUGUAAGAGGGUGAGGCUUCAUCAUGGGCACCCUCCUUGGGUCCCCAUCUGGGGACCCCACUGAGAACCAUGGAGAGUGUAAGCACCAAGAAGGGAGUGGCAGACACCUCAAGACCACCACGAGUGCAUGAGCAGCUGGGCUGCUCCCAGCUUCCACCCCAGAAUGCCUCUCAUACUCAGUGCCUACACAAUGCUUGCUCGCUCUCUGCCUGGGUUGAGUCAGUGGUUGGAUGGCCCAAAACCCAGCGUCCUGCCGACAUCAGGUACAGCAUGGUAUUUAUUCUUCUCACUAUUAUUUAGUUAGCCAUGAUCAGUUCCUGCUUCAUUUAUGACUGAGUUCAUCAACAGACCCGAUUAGUUUGCUUUGAUCUGAUAUAAUUCUUCUAUCUGUAGGAGACCUCUUUGAAGAUGGCUCCUGUACUUGAGGCUACCUUCAUGUCAAAACACAUUCAGGCACCAUCAGAUGAUUUCCCUUCUAGGAUGACAGAGCUAUGCAUGGAUUCACUUUGUCCUGUUAGCCUCUUUAAGAACCAGGAAUGUCUGUCUUGACAGAAGCAGAAACGGGGGAGUUUUCAACCCAUCAGUUCAAUCAGUCCUUAAGCAUUUAUCAAGCCCUACUAUGUGCCAGGCACUGCACAGGUCUGCAGUUUAACUGCAAGAUCAACAUGAGUCAGCAGUGUGAUACGGGAGACAAAAAACCCCAAUGCCGUCAUGGGCCACCUGGCAUCACCACGGAGACCAGGAUGCCAGAGAUGGCUGCCCAUGGUGUCCUUCUUGGCCCCUGCCAGGCCCUUGCCUUAGGACUGCUGGAGGGCAAGACAUUGAUUGACAGGCUUACCCUGUCCCAACGUUUUGAUUUGUGGGAAGGAAAAAGAAAAUGAUAAGGAAGCUACAGAAAGGAAGAUAAAGGGAACACCAUAAAUGGAGAAGGUCCACAGCCAUCACCCUCACCAGAUGCUGGAACACAGGUGGUGUGCUGAUGAGAUCCACUUUAGCUGCCGACAAAGAUGGUGAAUCCUCAAUCCCCUCUCCCCUUCCCCUGACUCUUUUGAAAAGGUGUGAGCCUGUUUCCUUGGGGAUGAGGGGCAGAGGUGGAGGCUUGGUUUUCUGUCCUGAAAGCCUGUUUAUCCAUUUUACGUUUAAAGGUUUGCUUUGCAUCUUGUGUUAGCAAUUGUGAUUAAAAGAAUGUAACUGGUGACCCAAAGCCCAUUGGUAUAGGACUCUCUCCUCAUAGUGGAGGUCAAUGCCCUGGGCUUGAGUGAGGGUGAAACAAAGUCAACAAGGUUAGGAGAGAGGAACAGAAAGGGCUCUCUUGGAGCUGUGAAGUCUUGCCAACUCCAACCUGCCCACAGCAGCCCUAGGGCAUUGAUCUCCAGUAAUGGGGAGAGAGUCCCAUAGCAAAGGACUGUGGGACUGGGUUACCAGUGCUUGUAUUGCUAAA
Long non-coding RNA from Phascolarctos cinereus (koala), 3208 nucleotides. RefSeq lists it as uncharacterized. The record is from RefSeq and is a predicted model, not a curated record. Lineage: Eukaryota; Metazoa; Chordata; Mammalia; Diprotodontia; Phascolarctidae.